UACGUAGGGGGCUAGCGUUGUCCGGAAUCAUUGGGCGUAAAGAGCGUGUAGGCGGUCCGGUAAGUCCGCUGUGAAAGUCGGGGGCUCAACCCUCGAAUGCCGGUGGAUACUGUCGGGCUAGAGUGCGGAAGAGGAGAGUGGAAUUCCUGGUGUAGCGGUGAAAUGCGCAGAUAUCAGGAAGAACACCCGUGGCUAAGGCGGCUCUCUAGUACGGUACUGACGCUGAGACGCGAAAGCGUGGGGAGCGAACAGG
RNAcentral lists this ribosomal RNA (253 nucleotides) under uncultured bacterium. RNAcentral describes it as "partial 16S ribosomal RNA". It matches the Rfam family "Bacterial small subunit ribosomal RNA", at positions 524 to 776 of the family's 1533-position model. The record is from RNAcentral.